Molecule: unclassified non-coding RNA, 117 nt
Filed under: Flavobacterium xueshanense
Lineage: Bacteria; Pseudomonadati; Bacteroidota; Flavobacteriia; Flavobacteriales; Flavobacteriaceae
Description: Flavo-1 RNA
Source: RNAcentral
UUUUAGCCCUGAUGGAAGUGAAAACCCUCCCGAUUUUUUUCGGGAGAUUACUUCACUUAGUAGUCAUUUAUAUAGGAGUUUAGUGAACUUUGUUUGUAGCGUACAGCGGGAAUAGCU